AUUAUGCCUGCUCAAAUAGAAAACUGAUUGUUUAUAUCCAUUAAGGUUGUCCCUCCAUAGUUAAGUGACCUGUUGGACCUAGUAAGCAGCAGUCUCUUGACCACAGUGAGCUGAAAAGCAAAACAAGAGUGGAAAUACAGUAAAGACAUCUUUUCAGGAUCCGCUCAGUGGCAAUGGAGAAGGGCGAUGGAGCCGGAGAAGGAGCUAUCAGAACCAGCUGUGGGAGCUGGUGGUGUUCAGCCUGGAGAAGAGGAGGCCCAGGGGAGACCUUAUUGCUCUCUAAAGCUGCCUGAAAGGAGGGUGUAAUCCAGGACCUGCCUCAUAGUCUCCAGCAAGAAUAGGCACGAUUAGAUUAAAAGUUCAGGGAUCCUCUAAUCAUCUCUCAAACUCCAUCCAAUGCCAUUAGCACUGAAUUACAGACAAGCCUCAACUUCUGUAUCUCAACCCAGCCUGUUCAACCUAUUCCUCCUUGAAGAGUUAUUACACAUUAAAUGAGCCAGAGAGCAAAACGCUGAACACAGCACAGCAGCAAAAAUAUUCAUCUGUAAUACUAGACAGCCAGGGUCCUUGCUACUGUUAACAGCAUAUUUAUGAAGAGUGAAACUACUAACAGAAGAAAUGAAACAAUUUAAUUUUCAUUAAUAUUAGAUAUUAACACCUGUUAACUGCUUGGUGAUGUGAAGUGAAAUGAUUCCAGAAUAGCUGUUCAUAUUUCUUUCAAAUUGGAAAAAAAUGAUAUCAUAGUACCUUUAUUCUAGUGGAUAAGAGAAAUCAACUGAAAUAUAAAUUAUUAAAGAUAUAGGUUAAAUUUGAAAGAAAGAAAGGACCUGGAGGUGAAUCCCUAAAAUCCAUGAGAAUGAACGCCCUAGUUUCUCAAUUACUUUGGCUAAAAUUUCUGGUUAAAAAUUAUAUUAAGAACCACAAGGCCAAGACAAAGGAUCACGGAAGUUUGUUUUAAAAAGAAAAGAGUUCAACCUUAAAAGAAUUAUAAAAUCAUUUAAAUAGGCCUCUAUACUUUUUUAAAAAAAUGAAAAUAACUAGUAACUGAGUUCAGAAUUUGUUUAUCAAACCAGAUAUUAAACACACUAAUUCAAUAGCCGCACUAUCCCCUUCAUGCUUUUUAUGGGGUCAGGUGAUGCGUUCAAAAGACCUAAGUGUCAUGAACCACCACCUGUUUUAAAAGCACCUCUUUACUGAUCAGCUUCACCCCUGAGUUAGACUGUUGCUGUGAAAUAAUAUUCAGAUUUUUUGUGUCUGAAACACAAAAUAUUUCUGGCCUGUCUACCUGUUACCUGUCAGUAUGAGUGCCAUUCACAUAUAAACCAGCUAGUUCUGAAUCAAUUCACUUGAGCAUUUAAAUCAGUAUUACUGCAUUAAUAUAACUGUCCACAGUGGCUAAUAUAUACUGGUUUUUAGUGUUGUGUAAUGUAGCCAAUUCCCUUUACAGUUUUAGUUAAUGAAAGACUCUUUUCCACAUUUUCGUCCAAAAACUGUUGUGUAACAUCACUGUGUAUUGUAAAUAGCUUCCCACUUCCAUCUGCUAUCUGCUCUAAACUGCUCUGGUUUGCAAAGUUUUUGUUUUACAGUUCUUGAGCAUAAAUCCUUGUUGUAAUUUCUUCUGGACUAUGGUUACCAGUAGCAGUGGCACAUAAAGAUUAUACUGUAAAUACAUUCUUACUAGUUAAACAGAGUCUAAAAGAGUGCCUCAAAAAUUCAUUUUAAUGAAAACAUUUUGUAACAGAUUGGACAUCAUGACUCUCUUGAAUUCAAUGGGAUACACCCUACUAAGCAGCUGAGCUGAGCACCUCCUUUCUUAGCACUCUGAAAGGAUACACUAAAUGCCCCACAAAUGUCAUACAGGUAACAAUCAUUCUAGACUUAAAUUUUGUUUAUGAUUACAGUGACAAGAACAUAUUAAAAUCAUAAACUAGAGGACAUCAUGGUUGAUUCGUAGCUCAGAUAAUGUGCUAAGAAAACAAAAAGAAACACACAAAAAUAGAUUUUUACCCAUACCAGUCACUGCUAUAGCUUCCAACAAAGUUCAGACAAGCCAAGACAAUUUGAAUGAUGCCAGGUAAUUCUGAAAUAUGGUUGUACUGGGUUUGUGUGACAAGGGUUUGGUAGCAGAGUGGCUACAGGGGGUGCUCUGUAAGCAGCUGCCAGGAACUUUCCCCAUGUCCAGAGCCAAUGCCAGAUGGAUCCAGCGUGAGCCUACUCCUGACCACAGGUGAGUGCCAGGGUCAGUGAUAGCAGCAGCACCUCUGGGAAAAUGUAUUUAUGAAGAGGGAACAAAAAGCGCAGCACCUCCAGUGAGAGAGAGGAAUGAGAGCAUGUGAGAGCAACAACUCUGGAGGUACAGAGGUCAGUGAAUGGUGAGGCAGCUACUCCUGCAGCCCUGGAGGAGCCCACACCAGAGCAGGUGGAUGUGCCUG
Passer domesticus (house sparrow) is the source of this 2432-nucleotide long non-coding RNA. RefSeq lists it as uncharacterized. The transcript is spliced from 3 exons. The record is from RefSeq and is a predicted model, not a curated record. Lineage: Eukaryota; Metazoa; Chordata; Aves; Passeriformes; Passeridae.